AGAGUUUGAUCCUGGCUCAGAACGAACGCUGGCGGCGCGCCUAAAACAUGCAAGUCGGACGAGAAAGUCUUCGGACGAGUAGAGUGGCGCACGGGUGAGUAAUACGUGGAUAACCUACCUUAGGGACCUGGAUAACAUUUCGAAGGGAAUGCUAAUACUGGAUGAUGUUUAGAUAUCAGUGAGGGUAUUUAAAUGAAAACAUGGUCACUACUUGUAAACUUUGGCCCUAUGAGGGGUUUACGUCCCAUUAGCUUGUUGGUGAGGUAAAGGCUCAUCCAAGGCUAAGAUGGGUAGCUGGUCUGAGAGGAUGAUCAGCCACACUGGAACUGAAACACGGUCCAGACUCCUACGGGAGGCAGCAGUUGGGAAUAUUGCGCAAUGGGGGAAACCCUGACGCAGCGACGCCGCGUGAGCGAAGAAGGCCCUCGGGUUGUAAAGCUCUGUCGAAGGGGAAGAACGCCCAGAUAGUUAAUAGCUAUCGGGGUUGACGGUACCUUUGGAGGAAGCACCGGCUAACUCUGUGCCAGCAGCCGCGGUAAUACAGAGGGUGCAAGCGUUGUUCGGAAUCACUGGGCGUAAAGAGUUUGUAGGCGGAAUUAUUAGUAUGGGGUUAAAUACCUGGGCCCAACCUAGGAUAUGCUUCGUAAACGGUAAAUCUAGAGUAUCGGAGAGGAUAGUGGAAUUCCUGGUGUAGAGGUGAAAUUCGUAGAUAUCAGGAGGAACACCAGAGGCGAAGGCGACUAUCUGGCCGAGUACUGACGCUAAAGAACGAAAGCGUGGGGAGCAAACAGGAUUAGAUUCCCUGGUAGUCCACGCCCUAAACGAUGAUAACUAGACGUGGGAAUUGGUUGACAGUUUCUGUGUCGUAGCUAACGCGAUAAGUUAUCCGCCUGGGGAGUACGGUCGCAAGACUAAAACUCAAAGGAAUUGACGGGGACCCGCACAAGCGGUGGAUUAUGUGGUUUAAUUCGAAGCAACGCGCAGAACCUUACCUGGGCUUAACAUCCCAAGAAAAGCCACAGAGAUGUGGCCUUACGAUAUGGAAACAUAUCGUCUUGGUGAUAGGUGCUGCAUGGCUGUCGUCAGCUCGUGUUGUGAAAUAUUGGGUUAAGUCCCGCAACGAGCGCAACCCCUAUCUUAAGUUGCCAGCAUUAAGUUGGGCACUCUAAAGAAACUGCCUGCGUUAAGCAGGAGGAAGGUG
Molecule: ribosomal RNA, 1201 nt
Filed under: metagenome
Description: bacterial SSU rRNA
Rfam family: Bacterial small subunit ribosomal RNA
Source: RNAcentral